This 403-nucleotide ribosomal RNA is filed under the name uncultured bacterium. RNAcentral's name for it is "bacterial SSU rRNA". It matches the Rfam family "Bacterial small subunit ribosomal RNA", at positions 355 to 775 of the family's 1533-position model. The record is from RNAcentral.
UGGGGAAUCUUGGACAAUGGGGGAAACCCUGAUCCAGCGAUGCCGCGUGAGCGAAGAAGGCCUUAGGGUUGUAAAGCUCUUUCGCCCGCGACGAUAAUGACGGUAGCGGGAGAAGAAGCCCCGGCUAACUCCGUGCCAGCAGCCGCGGUAAUACGGAGGGGGCUAGCGUUGUCCGGAAUUACUGGGCGUAAAGCGCGCGUAGGUGGUCCACCAAGUCGGGGGUGAAAGCCCAGGGCUCAACCCUGGAAUGGCCUCCGAGACUGAUGGACUCGAGUUCGGGAGAGGAGAGCGGAAUUCCCAGUGUAGAGGUGAAAUUCGUAGAUAUUGGGAAGAACACCGGUAGCGAAGGCGGCUCUCUGGCCCGCAACUGACGCUGAGGCGCGAAAGCGUGGGGAGCAAACAG